UUGCUUGGAACUGCUACGGACUUUAAAAUGCCGAGAGACGAUUAAAGAAAAGAUUUUAAGGGGAGGUGAAUUCAAAGCUGGGUUCGAAGUGAAAUUGAGACUUGACUGCUUGUGCAGGCAUGGUUUGAUUCGCAGAGAUGCUUUCAAAGUGUUGUGGAAAGAGCCGAGGUUGAUUGUAUAUCAGAUAGGGGAGAUUGAGAGGAAGAUUGAUUUCUUGUUGAGCGAUAUGAACUAUGAAGUGGAGUGUCUAGUCGAGGUGCCUGAGUUUUUAGGUGUGAAUUUUGAAAAACAAAUCCUUCCUCGAUACAAUGUGAUCAAGUACUUAAGAUCCGUUGGGGGACUAGGCGAUCCAGUAGGCUUGCAAAAUUUGAUAAAGCCUAGCACACUUAAAUUUUAUAACUUAUAUGUCAAGCCAUAUCCAGAGUGCGAAAAGAUUUUCAGAUGUGAAGCAGACAAAGCUGAGAAGCAGCAUCCAGUGGGACUGUGGAAGCUCUUCAAACCACAAAAGUAUCCCCAGUCCAAGGAUGAUGCAGAAAACAUAAAGUCCUUUAUGGAGUUGGGUGGUUAGGAUGGGACAGUUGUAGCCUCUCAUCCAUUAUUAUACUUCAAACUGAGGAUCGUGAAUGGUUCACAUCUAUUUGAAACAUCUACAGGUACUGCAUGAGCAUGAUCAUUUCUAAUCGGGGUUCAGCACUUAAUUGUUGCAUCUCUAGGAAAUACAUCAUCACCAUGUAUCAGUUUGUUCUUGCCAAUGCGGAGGAGACGUUGAACAAGACACAUUCUGCCCUUCCUUAUUCUGGUCAAGUUGUUUAUAUACUGCUUUCUGCAAAACUAUGUGAAACUUAUAAAAUGAGUAAAAAGUCAUUAUGUAACACGAUAUUGAUGACAAUUAUGCAGCUGGAUUGUGAAAAAAAUUUUGAUUUUCCAGUUUAAAUCCGUGGCACUAAUUUCAUAGAUAUGUUUAGCCCUAAACUCUUGUCCUUUGUCUUGCAAUUUAUUAUCUUGUCAAAUUUUGUCUCAUGAAGCUGCUCCUUGUUUACUUUACCUUAUCAAUUUUCAUAAGCUGGCAUUGCUCCCGUAGCGAAGUUUAUUGUUGUAAAAUCUUUUGGUGAGGAUGUCAAUUCUGUUGCAGGUAUGAAGCCUUUCAGAGAGAAAUUUGACAUGCCUGGUCCUGAAACUGUUGCUUUAGUGGGAACUAUUAGACUAGAUACGUUAGUUUUAAUACAUUUCUGAUGAAGUUGUUUGUGAUAUUCAUGUUUAUUACGGCUUACAUAUCUGUAUCUUUACUUCUAUGAAACAGUACUCAGUGGACAAACUCUCUUGUUAUUAUUGUUUCUAAGUUCACUAUAUUCUUGAUGUUUUUCUUGGAAUUUGUAUUGAGUAUCGAGGUAUCAAGAAAAUAACCAACUAAGUAUAUACAAAUCAUGAAAUGCGAUGAAUUUAUUACUGUUCAGCAAGUGUAUUAUUGAUGAUAGAUAUCAAUAGGCGCAGCUCCUGAGACUCAUGUAGGAGUAGCUUUGCAGGUGGUCUUAUCAGUUUAAGGCUUCUUAGAGUGUUGUGUCCUUUCUCCAAGCAGGAUAGACUGAUUGAAUAAUUCUUGCAAGUGACAAUGUGAGCUUAAUAACUGGGCAGGAUUUUUCUUUAUAUUGCUUUUCAUCAUUUGCAGCUUUAUUUACUAACUUUUGAUGGCCCAUAUACACCUAUGACUGUGCUGUCAAACUGAUUAAAUGUCCAUAAGUGCAAUGCACCCUAGAGACAUGAUCUUUAAUCUACUACAUAAUUAGAUUGGACUAUGUAGGCUUUUUCCUCAAAUUAAGAUAAUUUGUUGAAUAUUCUCUCUGCUUAGACCUGAUAGACCUGAUCCGGUUGUUUAGUCUGCUCAAUCCCAUUACAGUAUAUGUUGAUGGGUUUUCAAUUGUUUUCAUAACAGACUUCUUACGACAGAUGCAAGGGAAAUUUCAAAUGGUGGUUGUCAGGCGUCCUGGCCAAGCCAUUCAGAUCCCGGGGAUUCGGCCGUGGAGAUCUUGAAUCUAGAGCGCCCUUGAUGGCUGAAGGCUGCAAAUACAAUAUCCACGCAUCCUGUCGGUCUGGUUGGGCUCGUCAAAUAGUUCUUCUAAGGAAAAAAGAUAAAUAAUUCUCCAAUUUUGGUCUAAUAUGUAGUAUCAUUUUUUAACUUUCAAUUU
Molecule: RNA transcript, 2183 nt
Organism: Eucalyptus grandis
Lineage: Eukaryota; Viridiplantae; Streptophyta; Magnoliopsida; Myrtales; Myrtaceae
Exons: 3
Source: RefSeq, a predicted model, not a curated record